This 88-nucleotide transfer RNA is filed under the name Echria macrotheca. RNAcentral's name for it is "tRNA-Pro". It matches the Rfam family "tRNA". From Rfam's summary of the family: Transfer RNA (tRNA) molecules are approximately 80 nucleotides in length. Their secondary structure includes four short double-helical elements and three loops (D, anti-codon, and T loops). The record is from RNAcentral. Lineage: Eukaryota; Fungi; Ascomycota; Sordariomycetes; Sordariales; Schizotheciaceae.
GGCUUCGUGGUUUAGGGGUAUAAUUCUCGCUUAGGGCUUACCUGAGUAUAUCUGCGAGAGGUCCCGGGUUCGAAUCCCGGCGAAGCCC